UUUCUCGUUUUUGGAUUGGUAUAGGUGAGGAUUCAAUUGGGUCAGGGAUCAGCAGGCUCGGUAGCGAGGAACAUGCUUAAGGAGGAGGGCUUUGGUGCCUUUUACAAGGGGCUAUCUGCUGGACUACUCAGACAAGCAACAUAUACCACAGCACGACUUGGAUCAUGCAAACUGGAUAUUUUAUAAUGGCAUGGUCUAUAUGUACUAC
This is a long non-coding RNA of Quercus lobata, 208 nucleotides long. RefSeq lists it as uncharacterized. The record is from RefSeq and is a predicted model, not a curated record. The transcript is spliced from 3 exons. Lineage: Eukaryota; Viridiplantae; Streptophyta; Magnoliopsida; Fagales; Fagaceae.